UCUGCCGUGAUUGGUGAGCUUCCUUCACCGGGACGUUAUUGAACGUGUCCAUCACUGCGGCUGGAGCUAGGCUGGAAAUGAUGGCAACACUCCUAGAAGAGCUCAACUGGGCAAGGAAACAAGAAUGAAACCACUCCUGGCUUUCAGUGGACCAGCUGAGGAUCAUGUGGUGAUGGAAGAGGGGGACUGGAACUCUCCUGGGGAAGAAAAGAGCUUUUGUCAUAUCAAACAUCUCCCAGUGAGUGAAACCCCAGCUUCAGCCUGGACAAAGGCCUCUGCCCAGCCUUGGGAAACGUCCAUUUCCCACCCCUUGGAAAAGGACAGCAACUGAGCAGGGCUUUUAAAGUCCUUCCCACAUUCUUUUCUGCAUGGA
Molecule: long non-coding RNA, 373 nt
Filed under: Parus major (Great Tit)
Lineage: Eukaryota; Metazoa; Chordata; Aves; Passeriformes; Paridae
Description: lncRNA (ENSPMJG00000016568.1)
Source: RNAcentral